Molecule: long non-coding RNA, 213 nt
Organism: Myotis brandtii (Brandt's bat)
Lineage: Eukaryota; Metazoa; Chordata; Mammalia; Chiroptera; Vespertilionidae
Exons: 3
Source: RefSeq, a predicted model, not a curated record
CGGAGGCCGAAGGGGUCAAGUCGUCCGUCCGGCAUUUGAAGCCAGUUCGUUCUCAAGCGUGUCGAUGACCUCCUGGUUCCUCCUGUUCCGCUUCGUGAUCUCCUGGAUGAACUGGCUCUUGUCUCUGGCUUCCAUGGGGCAGGUAACUGACCUUGUCCACGAGCACCUGGCACAGGUCCGCGUGCUCCCGCACUGCCCUGGUGAGGUCCUCGC